GUAGGUGGCAAGCGUUGUCCGGAAUUAUUGGGCGUAAAGCGCGCGCAGGCGGUUCUUUAAGUCUGAUGUGGGAAGCCCACGGGCUCAACCGUGGAGGGUCAUUGGAAACUGGAGAACUUGAGUACAGAAGAGGAAAGCGGAAUUCCACGUGUAGCGGUGAAAUGCGUAGAGAUGUGGAGGAACACCAGUGGCGAAGGCGGCUUUCUGGUCUGUAACUGACGCUGAGGCGCGAAAGCGUGGGGAGCAAACAGGAUUAGAUACCCUGGUAGUCCACGCCGUAAACGAUGAGUGCUAAGUGUUAGGGGGUUUCCGCCCCUUAGUGCUGCAGCUAACGCAUUAAGCACUCCGCCUGGGGAGUACGGCCGCAAGGCUG
RNAcentral lists this ribosomal RNA (373 nucleotides) under uncultured organism. RNAcentral describes it as "partial 16S ribosomal RNA". It matches the Rfam family "Bacterial small subunit ribosomal RNA", at positions 527 to 896 of the family's 1533-position model. The record is from RNAcentral.